Molecule: long non-coding RNA, 776 nt
Organism: Cercocebus atys (sooty mangabey)
Lineage: Eukaryota; Metazoa; Chordata; Mammalia; Primates; Cercopithecidae
Exons: 2
Source: RefSeq, a predicted model, not a curated record
GCUUUGUUCCCCGGGCGCGGGCUGCAUUUUCCCACGCGCGGAGAGGAUCGCAGCGCAUUUCCGCCAAGACCUGUGAGACUGCGGUUCUGACCUGCGGGCCUCAAUGAAUAUGCACUAGGGACCUGGGCGCUGGGAGAGCCGUUCCCCUACACAAAGUACGCAUAUUAAUUAUGUAUACAACCCAGCGGGGACACUAAGAGCUCCAAAGGCCCUGUUUUCUUCCCAAAGAACAGCGCCCGUCUGCGUAGUUUGUACCUGGUUCUAUGAAGUGAGAACGCAUUCCCCCCUAGCACAGAAAUCCUACAAACUACUGUGGGGGCUGCAGUUCAGCAGAAGCUGUAUAAAAGGUGACUGGGGGCUAGGGAACAACACGAAGAUUUUUACAGAUCGUGAGAACCCAAGACCCUGGAGACCAUGAACCAAUCUCUGCAAAAGGCAGCCCCGCAUAGAAAGGGAAGAGCUGUGCAGCCUUCACGGUGGUUACCUUAUAUUGCAAGGGCUGACGCUUCUUAUUUCUGCUCUGACAGAAUCGAUAUGUUACUUAUCAUUCUCCAACUUUCCACGGCAAGAAUGACAUUUACACGCCACACAAAACACAAACUUUAGUACACAACCUAUUCUUUUAACUACAAAGUUCAGGGGAAAGCGCGAACGCAGUCCCCCACUACCACAAAUUAUGCAGUCGAGUUUCCCACAUUUGGGGAAAUCGCAGGGGUCAGCACAUCCGGAGUGCAAUGGAUAAGCCUCGCCCUGGGAAAACCACCUUCGUGAUCAUG